This 426-nucleotide ribosomal RNA is filed under the name Lactiplantibacillus plantarum. RNAcentral describes it as "bacterial SSU rRNA". It matches the Rfam family "Bacterial small subunit ribosomal RNA", at positions 378 to 797 of the family's 1533-position model. The record is from RNAcentral. Lineage: Bacteria; Bacillati; Bacillota; Bacilli; Lactobacillales; Lactobacillaceae.
AGAGUCUGAUGGAGCACGCCGCGUGAGUGAAGAAGGGUUUCGGCUCGUAAAACUCUGUUGUUAAAGAAGAACAUAUCUGAGAGUAACUGUUCAGGUAUUGACGGUAUUUAACCAGAAAGCCACGGCUAACUACGUGCCAGCAGCCGCGGUAAUACGUAGGUGGCAAGCGUUGUCCGGAUUUAUUGGGCGUAAAGCGAGCGCAGGCGGUUUUUUAAGUCUGAUGUGAAAGCCUUCGGCUCAACCGAAGAAGUGCAUCGGAAACUGGGAAACUUGAGUGCAGAAGAGGACAGUGGAACUCCAUGUGUAGCGGUGAAAUGCGUAGAUAUAUGGAAGAACACCAGUGGCGAAGGCGGCUGUCUGGUCUGUAACUGACGCUGAGGCUCGAAAGUAUGGGUAGCAAACAGGAUUAGAUACCCCAGUAGUCAA